This 253-nucleotide ribosomal RNA is filed under the name uncultured bacterium. RNAcentral's name for it is "partial 16S ribosomal RNA". It matches the Rfam family "Bacterial small subunit ribosomal RNA", at positions 524 to 776 of the family's 1533-position model. The record is from RNAcentral.
UACAGAGGGGGCAAGCGUUAUUCGGAAUUAUUGGGCGUAAAGGGCGCGUAGGCGGCUUGGCAAGUGGAAGGUGAAAUCCCUCGGCUUAACCGAGGAACUGCCCUCCAAACUGCUGCGCUUGAGACCGGGAGAGGUGAGUGGAAUUCCCAGUGUAGCGGUGAAAUGCGUAGAUAUUGGGAGGAACACCAGUGGCGAAGGCGGGUCACUGGACCGGUACUGACGCUGAUGCGCGAAAGCGUGGGGAGCAAACGGG